Molecule: ribosomal RNA, 460 nt
Filed under: uncultured Flavobacteriaceae bacterium
Lineage: Bacteria; Pseudomonadati; Bacteroidota; Flavobacteriia; Flavobacteriales; Flavobacteriaceae
Description: partial 16S ribosomal RNA
Source: RNAcentral
GACUACCCGGGUAUCUAAUCCUGUUUGAUCCCCACGCUUUCGUCCCUCAGCGUCAGUAUAUACUUAGUAGACUGCCUUCGCAAUCGGUGUUCUGUGUAAUAUCUAUGCAUUUCACCGCUACACUACACAUUCCAUCUACUUCAAUAUAACUCAAGACUAACAGUAUCAAAGGCAGUUCCACAGUUAAGCUGUGGGAUUUCACCUCUGACUUAUUAGUCCGCCUACGGACCCUUUAAACCCAAUGAUUCCGGAUAACGCUUACACCCUCCGUAUUACCGCGGCUGCUGGCACGGAGUUAGCCGGUGUUUAUUCCUAUAGUACCGUCAGCCCCGAUCACGACCGGGGGUUUCUCCCUAUAGAAAAGCAGUUUACAACCCAUAAGGCCGUCUUCCUGCACGCGGCAUGGCUGGUUCAGACUUGCGUCCAUUGACCAAUAUUCCUCACUGCAGCCUCCCGUAGG